AACGAACGCUGGCGGCGCGCCUAAUACAUGCAAGUCGAGCGAGAAAGUGUAGCAAUACACUUGUAAAGCGGCGAACGGGUGAGGAAUACAUGGGUAAUCUACCAUCGAGUGGGGAAUAACCAACCGAAAGGUUGGCUAAUACCGCGUACGCCUCCGAGUCUUCGGGUUCGGAGGGAAAGCUGCACUGUGAGUGUAGCGCUCUUUGAUGAGCUCAUGUCCUAUCAGCUUGUUGGUAGGGUAAUGGCCUACCAAGGCUUUGACGGGUAGCUGGUCUGAGAGGACGAUCAGCCACACUGGCACUGCGACACGGGCCAGACUCCUACGGGAGGCAGCAGUAAGGAAUAUUGCGCAAUGGGCGAAAGCCUGACGCAGCGACGCCGCGUGGGGGAUGAAGGUCUUCGGAUUGUAAACCCCUUUCGGAGGGAAGAUGGAGCGAGCAAUCGUUCGGACGGUACCUCCAGAAGCAGCCACGGCCAACUUCGUGCCAGC
Molecule: ribosomal RNA, 489 nt
Filed under: uncultured bacterium
Lineage: Bacteria
Description: bacterial SSU rRNA
Rfam family: Bacterial small subunit ribosomal RNA
Source: RNAcentral